GGGCCCGCACAAGCGGUGGAGCAUGUGGUUUAAUUCGAUGAUACGCGAGGAACCUUACCAGGGCUUAAAUGUAGUCUGACAGGGGUGGAAACACCCCCUCCUUCGGGCAGAUUACAAGGUGCUGCAUGGUUGUCGUCAGCUCGUGCCGUGAGGUGUCAGGUUAAGUCCUAUAACGAGCGCAACCCCUGCCGUUAGUUGCCAGCAUGUAAUGAUGGGAACUCUAACGGGACUGCCGGUGCAAACCGCGAGGAAGGUGGGGAUGACGUCAAAUCAUCACGGCCCUUACGUCCUGGGCUACACACGUGCUACAAUGGCCGGUACAGAGGGCAGCCACACCGCAAGGUGGAGCGAAUCCUUAAACUCUAUCUCAGUUCGGAUCGGAGUCUGCAACUCGACUCCGUGAAGCUGGAAUC
Molecule: ribosomal RNA, 413 nt
Filed under: uncultured bacterium
Lineage: Bacteria
Description: bacterial SSU rRNA
Rfam family: Bacterial small subunit ribosomal RNA
Source: RNAcentral